GGGACGUAGCUUAAUUGGUAGAGCAGCAGUGUUGCAGCUGCAAGAUGUGAGUUCGAGCCUCACCGUCUCCG
RNAcentral lists this transfer RNA (71 nucleotides) under Chloroflexota bacterium. RNAcentral's name for it is "Chloroflexi bacterium tRNA-OTHER". It matches the Rfam family "tRNA". From Rfam's summary of the family: Transfer RNA (tRNA) molecules are approximately 80 nucleotides in length. Their secondary structure includes four short double-helical elements and three loops (D, anti-codon, and T loops). Further hydrogen bonds mediate the characteristic L-shaped molecular structure. tRNAs have two regions of fundamental functional importance: the anti-codon, which is responsible for specific mRNA codon recognition, and the 3' end, to which the tRNAs corresponding amino acid is attached (by aminoacyl-tRNA synthetases). tRNAs cope with the degeneracy of the genetic code in two manners: having more than one tRNA (with a specific anti-codon) for a particular amino acid; and 'wobble' base-pairing, i.e. permitting non-standard base-pairing at the 3rd anti-codon position. The record is from RNAcentral. Lineage: Bacteria; Bacillati; Chloroflexota.